CCUACGGGUGGCAGCUGUGAGGAAUAUUGGUCAAUGGACGAGAGUCUGAACCAGCCAAGUAGCGUGAAGGAUGACUGCCCUAUGGGUUGUAAACUUCUUUUAUAUGGGAAUAACAUGUUCCACGUGUGGGAUUUUGUAUGUACCAUAUGGAUAAGGAUCGGCUAACUCCGUGCCAGCAGCCGCGGUAAUACGGAGGAUCCGAGCGUUAUCCGGAUUUAUUGGGUUUAAAGGGAGCGUAGGUGGAUUGUUAAGUCAGUUGUGAAAGUUUGGGGCUCAACCGGAGAAUUGCAGUUGAAACUGGCAGUCUUGAGUACAGGAGAGGUAGGCGGAAUUCGUGGUGUAGCGGUGAAAUGCUUAGAUAUCACGAAGAACUCCGAUUGCGAAGGCAGCUCACUGGAGUGCAACUGACGCUGAGGCUCGAAAGUGUGGGUAUCGAACAGGAUUAGAUACCCGUGUAGUC
This 460-nucleotide ribosomal RNA is filed under the name uncultured bacterium. RNAcentral describes it as "partial 16S ribosomal RNA". It matches the Rfam family "Bacterial small subunit ribosomal RNA", at positions 338 to 795 of the family's 1533-position model. The record is from RNAcentral.